RNAcentral lists this ribosomal RNA (282 nucleotides) under uncultured bacterium. RNAcentral describes it as "partial 16S ribosomal RNA". The record is from RNAcentral.
CUGCUGCCUCCCGUAGGAGUUUGGACCGUGUCUCAGUUCCAAUGUGGGGGACCUUCCUCUCAGAACCCCUACGCAUCGUCGCCACGGUGGGCCGUUACCCCGCCGUCAAGCUAAUGCGCCGCAUGCCCAGCCGCCACCGGAUUCCUCCUUUCGCCCGGUCCGGAUGCCCGGUCCGGGCGGCAUGGGGUAUUAGGCCGGGUUUCCCCGGGUUAUCCCCCUGUGGCGGGCAGGUUCCAUACGUGUUACUCACCCGUGCGCCGGUCGCCGGCAGGUGCAGGCAAG